UGGGGCAUGGUGUAAAGGUAACAUCGCGGUCUCCAAAACCGCAGCUGGGAGUUCGAUUCUCUCUGCCUCAG
This 71-nucleotide transfer RNA is filed under the name Bacteroidales bacterium. RNAcentral's name for it is "tRNA-Trp". It matches the Rfam family "tRNA". From Rfam's summary of the family: Transfer RNA (tRNA) molecules are approximately 80 nucleotides in length. Their secondary structure includes four short double-helical elements and three loops (D, anti-codon, and T loops). Lineage: Bacteria; Pseudomonadati; Bacteroidota; Bacteroidia; Bacteroidales. The record is from RNAcentral.